RNAcentral lists this ribosomal RNA (319 nucleotides) under uncultured eukaryote. RNAcentral's name for it is "partial 18S ribosomal RNA". It matches the Rfam family "Eukaryotic small subunit ribosomal RNA", at positions 1470 to 1796 of the family's 1831-position model. The record is from RNAcentral.
CCCUUAGAUGUUCUGGGCCGCACGCGCGCUACACUGACAGAGUCAGCGAGUUGUCCUGCAUCGGAAGGUGUGGGUAAUCUUUUGAAACUCUGUCGUGCUGGGGAUAGAUCUUUGCAAUUAUCGAUCUUAAACGAGGAAUUCCUAGUAAGCGUGAUUCAUCAGAUCGCGUUGAUUACGUCCCUGCCCUUUGUACACACCGCCCGUCGCUACUACCGAUUGAAUGGUCCGGUGAAAUCUCGGGACGGCGGCUUGGUCGCUUGCGUCCGACUGCUGAAACUUGAUUAAACCAUAUCAUUUAGAGGAAGGUGAAGUCGUAACA